RNAcentral lists this ribosomal RNA (212 nucleotides) under uncultured bacterium. Its description in RNAcentral is "partial 16S ribosomal RNA". It matches the Rfam family "Bacterial small subunit ribosomal RNA", at positions 524 to 734 of the family's 1533-position model. The record is from RNAcentral.
UACAGAGGGGGCAAGCGUUGUUCGGAAUUACUGGGCGUAAAGGGCGCGUAGGCGGCCUGUUAAGUCGAACGUGAAAUCCCCGGGCUCAACCCGGGAACUGCGUCCGAUACUGGCAGGCUUGAAUCCGGGAGAGGGAUGCGGAAUUCCAGGUGUAGCGGAUGAAAUGCGUAGAUAUCUGGAGGAACACCGGUGGCGAAGGCGGCAUCCUGGAC